UUGGGUAUAAAAUAAUCUCAGCUGAAGUUCGUAAGAGGCCGACCCUCCCAGGACUCUUUCAGCCUCCGACCUCGUGCGGUGUCUUUCUAAACUCCUUCGAACAUCCGAGCUUCCACAGUACCGUCCGAACUCCCCCAGCAGUCGACCUUCCAUAGUGAACUCCAGAUUCCUCCAAUGGACGAACUCCUAUUGUGCCAUCUGGACUUCUCCAAUAAUGAGCUCCCUCAUUCAUCUAUCAGACCGCUCCAAAUACUCUCUGGGCUUCACUAUUAGUCGAUUUUCUACAGUGAUCGACUACUCUCCGAAUCUCCUCCAGACUUCUUCCUGCC
RNAcentral lists this long non-coding RNA (329 nucleotides) under Elaeis guineensis (African oil palm). RNAcentral's name for it is "long non-coding RNA (EGUI_LNC082142)". Lineage: Eukaryota; Viridiplantae; Streptophyta; Magnoliopsida; Arecales; Arecaceae. The record is from RNAcentral.